Molecule: microRNA, 24 nt
Filed under: Lotus japonicus
Lineage: Eukaryota; Viridiplantae; Streptophyta; Magnoliopsida; Fabales; Fabaceae
Description: lja-miR11108w-5p
Source: miRBase by way of RNAcentral
AUUAAGUGAGGUUGUCUGAAUGAC